Molecule: ribosomal RNA, 824 nt
Filed under: uncultured bacterium
Lineage: Bacteria
Description: bacterial SSU rRNA
Rfam family: Bacterial small subunit ribosomal RNA
Source: RNAcentral
GGCAGCAUGGUCUUAGCUUGCUAAGGCUGAUGGCGACCGGCGCACGGGUGAGUAACACGUAUCCAACCUGCCGUCUACUCCUGGCCAGCCUUCUGAAAGGAAGAUUAAUCCAGGAUGGGAUCAUGAGUUCACAUGUCCGCAUGAUUAAAGGUAUUUUCCGGUAGACGAUGGGGAUGCGUUCCAUUAGAUAGUAGGCGGGGUAACGGCCCACCUAGUCAACGAUGGAUAGGGGUUCUGAGAGGAAGGUCCCCCACAUUGGAACUGAGACACGGUCCAAACUCCUACGGGAGGCAGCAGUGAGGAAUAUUGGUCAAUGGGCGAUGGCCUGAACCAGCCAAGUAGCGUGAAGGAUGACUGCCCUAUGGGUUGUAAACUUCUUUUAUAAAGGAAUAAAGUCGGGUAUGCAUACCCGUUUGCAUGUACUUUAUGAAUAAGGAUCGGCUAACUCCGUGCCAGCAGCCGCGGUAAUACGGAGGAUCCGAGCGUUAUCCGGAUUUAUUGGGUUUAAAGGGAGCGUAGAUGGAUGUUUAAGUCAGUUGUGAAAGUUUGCGGCUCAACCGUAAAAUUGCAGUUGAUACUGGAUGUCUUGAGUGCAGUUGAGGCAGGCGGAAUUCGUGGUGUAGCGGUGAAAUGCUUAGAUAUCACGAAGAACUCCGAUUGCGAAGGCAGCCUGCUAAGCUGCAACUGACAUUGAGGCUCGAAAGUGUGGGUAUCAAACAGGAUUAGAUACCCUGGUAGUCCACACGGUAAACGAUGAAUACUCGCUGUUUGCGAUAUACGGCAAGCGGCCAAGCGAAAGCGUUAAGUAUUCCACCUGGGGAGUA